UUGNAGGGCAAGUCUGGUGCCAGCAGCCGCGGUAAUUCCAGCUCCAAUAGCGUAUAUUAAAGUUGUUGCAGUUAAAAAGCUCGUAGUUGAAUUUCGGGGUCAGUAGGUUGGUCGUGCCACUGGUAUGCACUGGUCUCACUGAUUCCUCCUUCUUGUAGAACCGUAAUGCCAUUAAGUUGGUGUUGCGGGGAAACAGGACUGUUACUUUGAAAAAAUUAGAGUGUUUAAAGCAAGCUAACGCUUGAAUACAUUAGCAUGGAAUAAUGAAAUAGGACGAACGAUCCUAUUUUGUUGGUUUCUAGGAUUGACGUAAUGAUUAAUAGGGAUAGUUGGGGGCAUUAGUAUUCAAUUGUCAGAGGUGAAAUUCUUGGAUUUAUUGAAGACUAACUACUGCGAAAGCAUUUGCCAAGGAUGUUUUCAUUAAUCAAGAACGAAAGUUAGGGGAUCGAAGACGAUCAGAUACCGUCGUAGUCUUAACCAUAAACUAUGCCGACUAGGGAUCGGAUGAUGUUAAUUUUAUAAUGACUCAUUCGGCGCCUUACGGGAAAC
Molecule: ribosomal RNA, 549 nt
Filed under: uncultured Glomus
Lineage: Eukaryota; Fungi; Glomeromycota; Glomeromycetes; Glomerales; Glomeraceae
Description: SSU rRNA
Rfam family: Eukaryotic small subunit ribosomal RNA
Source: RNAcentral